GUGCAGCAGGCGCGAAACCUCCGCAAUACACGAAAGUGUGACGGGGCCAUCCCGAGUGCCGUCCGCUGAGGACGGCUUUUCCCCAGUGUACAUAGCUGGGGGAAUAAGGAGAGGGCGAAGCCGUGGUGGUCAGCCGCCGCGGUAAGUACCAGCUCUCCGAGUGGUGGGGACGCUUAUUGGGCCUAAAGCAUCCGUAGCCGGCU
RNAcentral lists this ribosomal RNA (203 nucleotides) under uncultured microorganism. Its description in RNAcentral is "partial 16S ribosomal RNA". It matches the Rfam family "Archaeal small subunit ribosomal RNA", at positions 330 to 530 of the family's 1478-position model. The record is from RNAcentral.